This 253-nucleotide ribosomal RNA is filed under the name uncultured bacterium. RNAcentral's name for it is "partial 16S ribosomal RNA". It matches the Rfam family "Bacterial small subunit ribosomal RNA", at positions 524 to 776 of the family's 1533-position model. The record is from RNAcentral.
UACGAAGGGGGCUAGCGUUGCUCGGAAUCACUGGGCGUAAAGGGUGCGUAGGCGGGUUUUUAAGUCAGGGGUGAAAUCCUGGAGCUCAACUCCAGAACUGCCUUUGAUACUGAAGAUCUUGAGUCCGGGAGAGGUGAGUGGAACUGCGAGUGUAGAGGUGAAAUUCGUAGAUAUUCGCAAGAACACCAGUGGCGAAGGCGGCUAACUGGUCCGGUUCUGACGCUGAGGCGCGAAAGCGUGGGGAGCAAACAGG